Arachis ipaensis is the source of this 2410-nucleotide non-coding RNA. The record is from RefSeq and is a predicted model, not a curated record. NCBI's taxonomy places the organism in Eukaryota, Viridiplantae, Streptophyta, Magnoliopsida, Fabales, Fabaceae.
CAUUUCCAAUUUAAUCACACGGAACACAAGCGUUGGCAAAAGCAAACGCUGAAAGCUGCGAAGCUGCCACACUGUGGAGCUCGUAACUCCACUGAUACGCUACGCUUCGAUCUCUGUUCUGCUGUUGUUCGUCAAUUGUAGCUCCACACUUUGUACUAUGCCUAGGGUUUCACGUUUCGGUGUUCCACCUAGGAAAGGAGGAAAUAAAGCUUCAACUCAAUCCCCUCCACUAUCAACUAACAAUCCAGCAACUGCUAAUGCCCCACCACCAUCAACUACUGCUACACCAGUUGCUCAAGUUCCACCACCAUUGAAUGAUGCUCCACUACCUAAUCAAACCCCAUUAGUGUGGAUUGAUGCCACACUAUCUCAAGAACCUCCUCAACCCCUAUCAGCCACCCAAUCUUGGCCUAGGCGUCGGCAACGCACAAAAGCUCCUUUGCAAGCCCUACCACUUUCAGUUGAUGCUCCACCAUCUACUCAAACUCCACCACCAACUUUUCAAGCCCAGAAACCAUUGAUUAAUGCUCCACCAUCAGCUCAAGCCUCAUCAACACCCUCCACAGUGGCUCCUUCACAAGCCCCACUUGCCACCCAAACUCAACUAAGGCACUACCCAUGGGAGGAAGCUCCUUCACAAGCUCAACAACCAUCAAUUCAUGCUGCACUAUCUACUCAAGUGCCGGCAUCUUCAGCUGAUGCUCCAUCGUCCUCCGAGGCCUCAUCAUCUUCUGAGGCCCCAUCAUUUCCCGAGGCCCUAAUACCUUCAUUUGAUGCUCCACCACCAACUUCUCAUGCCACACUAGCAUCAAUUGAUGUCUCACCAUUCUCAGAAGUUCCUUCACAGGAUCCCCCUUCUGACCAAACUCAACGUCGGACCCGUGAAAACCGCAAAUUUUGGACUGUUGAUGUAAAAGAUGCUUCUGGAGUUACAAAAGUAGCAUAUUUGAAAUUGAAGGAUCUUUGGAACCUUCCCAGUGGCACCAAAGUGGUGUUGCCACUUAAUGAUUGGAAACAACCAGUUGGUGAGGCAGCUGGCCUCUUAGGACAAGCUCUUGGACAAUUGGGUGCCAAUUUUGCUGCUCUUCCUAUUUGCUAUAAGUCUUGGCCUAAAGUUCCUAAAAAUCUUAAGGAGGAGAUUUUUGAUAGCAAGAUAAAGGAUAAGUUCAUUAUAAACGAUGAUCUAGUGAAGAAGAUUAUAAUCCAAAGGAUUGGGGAAAAGUGGAAGGAGAAUCGAUCUGAAGUUUUUCAUAAAUAUUAUGAUCCAGAACUCAGUAAAGAAGAGAACUAUGCUAAUCACCCUCCUGAGAUAACUCGAGAUCACUGGAUUCAAUUUAUUGAUUAUCGUUUGGAUCCAAACACUGUGGAAAUGUGCAGAAAAAAUGCUGAAAGUCGGGAGAAACUAUCAGUUGUGCAUCGUUUAGGGUCCAAGAGCUUAGCAAGGAAACGGCAUGAGAUGGUGAUUGAAGUUGAGAAUGGAGAACCGGUUAGUAGGGGGAAAGUUUUUAUUGCCAUGCAUACUAGACCUGAUGGAUCAUAUCCAAACGAUGAAAUCCGAGCUAUUUGUUUUGCGCAUUUCAUUUCCAUUCUUUUGGUCAGUCUCUUCCCCAACACUAAUGCUGGAAUGUUCACAAUAGGACGAAAUUACUCGUAUUGAGACUGAAGGGAACUGUUCACCAACAGUUGGACCAGACGAUUCCCUUGCCCAAGCGCUCGGAGAGGAGCAUUCUGGUAGAAUCAGAGGUUUGGGUUUAGGACCCUGCAAAACACAAUUAUUUGAGGCUGAAGAGCAAACAAGAUGUGGAGGCAAAUGCCUAGAAAGUGCCCCCUUUACUCAGAUGAAACAGGAAAUUGUAGAUCUGCGAGCACGAUUGGAAAGAGAGACUAAAAGUAGACGUGAAUUUGAGAAUGCUGUAACUCUAGUCCUACAACAUGUUGCUACCCCAAACAUGACUCCUGAGCUCGCUACACUCCUUACUCCAUUGAUUACGCGUGCAUUUCAGGCCUCACUUGCUAAUGGUGGGAAUGCUGGGAAAAGCAAUGGGAAUCCUUCUAAAUGACAGAACUUGAUUGCCAUGAAUUGUCCAAAUACGGUGGUAGAAGAGAUGAAAUCUGUUAUAUCCAAGAAGAUAUUAGUUAAAGGGCAGAAUGGGAUCAUUCAGUGAUUGCUGAUGUUGGAGUUUCACUUUAGGGUGAAAAAAAAUGCAGUAUAGGACUGUAGAAUCUGUAUUAAGGUAGUGAAUGAAGAAGGUCUGAAAUUUUUGGAUAUGUUUUCAUGCCUGCAUGGUCACCCUAUUUUUACUAUUGGAUGAAAAAAAUUCUUUGUAAUUGAUAAGGGUAUUGAUAUAUUCUUCUAACCAUCAACCACAAAAUGGCAUUUAAGCAAUUCGAACAACUAUCACUUGUACUA